Molecule: ribosomal RNA, 744 nt
Filed under: uncultured bacterium
Lineage: Bacteria
Description: bacterial SSU rRNA
Rfam family: Bacterial small subunit ribosomal RNA
Source: RNAcentral
AGAGUUUGAUCAUGGCUCAGAGCGAACGCUGGCGGCAGGCUUAACACAUGCAAGUCGAACGGGCAUAGCAAUAUGUCAGUGGCAGACGGGUGAGUAACGCGUGGGAACAUACCUCUUGGUUCGGAACAACACAGGGAAACUUGUGCUAAUACCGGAUAAGCCCUUACGGGGAAAGAUUUAUCGCCGAGAGAUUGGCCCGCGUCUGAUUAGCUAGUUGGUGUGGUAAAGGCGCACCAAGGCGACGAUCAGUAGCUGGUCUGAGAGGAUGAUCAGCCACAUUGGGACUGAGACACGGCCCAAACCCCUACGGGAGGCAGCAGUGGGGAAUAUUGGACAAUGGGCGCAAGCCUGAUCCAGCCAUGCCGCGUGAGUGAUGAAGGCCUUAGGGUUGUAAAGCUCUUUUGUACGGGAAGAUAAUGACGGUACCGUAAGAAUAAGCCCCGGCUAACUUCGUGCCAGCAGCCGCGGUAAUACGAAGGGGGCUAGCGUUGCUCGGAAUCACUGGGCGUAAAGGGUGCGUAGGCGGGUUUUUAAGUCAGAGGUGAAAUCCUGGAGCUCAACUCCAGAACUGCCUUUGAUACUGAAAGUCUUGAGUAUGGGAGAGGUGAGUGGAACUGCGAGUGUAGAGGUGAAAUUCGUAGAUAUUCGCAAGAACACCAGUGGCGAAGGCGGCUCACUGGCCCAUUACUGACGCUGAGGCACGAAAGCGUGGGGAGCAAACAGGAUUAGAUACCCUAGUAGUCC